GCACUGGUGGUUUGGUGGUAGAAUUCUUGCCUUACAUGCAGGAGACCUGGAUUCGAUUCCCACCCAAUGCA
RNAcentral lists this transfer RNA (71 nucleotides) under Trichechus manatus latirostris (Florida manatee). RNAcentral's name for it is "tRNA-Val (TAC) (tRNA-Val-TAC-15-1)". It matches the Rfam family "tRNA". From Rfam's summary of the family: Transfer RNA (tRNA) molecules are approximately 80 nucleotides in length. Their secondary structure includes four short double-helical elements and three loops (D, anti-codon, and T loops). The record is from Rfam by way of RNAcentral. Lineage: Eukaryota; Metazoa; Chordata; Mammalia; Sirenia; Trichechidae.